GUGCUCGGUUCAGCAGCACAUAUACAAAAAAAAAAUUGGAAUGAUACAGAGAUUAGCAUGGCGCCUGCGCAAGGAUAACACGCAAAUUCAUGAAGUAUGCCAUUAUUUU
This 109-nucleotide small nuclear RNA is filed under the name Pan paniscus (pygmy chimpanzee). Lineage: Eukaryota; Metazoa; Chordata; Mammalia; Primates; Hominidae. The record is from RNAcentral.